RNAcentral lists this ribosomal RNA (467 nucleotides) under uncultured bacterium. Its description in RNAcentral is "partial 16S ribosomal RNA". It matches the Rfam family "Bacterial small subunit ribosomal RNA", at positions 28 to 507 of the family's 1533-position model. The record is from RNAcentral.
GACGAACGCUGGCGGCGUGCUUAACACAUGCAAGUCGAACGGAAAGACCCUGCUUUUGUGGGGUGCUCGAGUGGCGAACGGGUGAGUAACACGUGAGUAACCUGCCCUUGACUUUGGGAUAACUUCAGGAAACUGGGGCUAAUACCGGAUAGGAGCUCCUGCUGCAUGGUGGGGUUGGAAAGUUUCGGCGGUUGGGGAUGGACUCGCGGCUUAUCAGCUUGUUGGUGGGGUAGUGGCUUACCAAGGCUUUGACGGGUAGCCGGCCUGAGAGGGUGACCGGCCACAUUGGGACUGAGAUACGGCCCAGACUCCUACGGGAGGCAGCAGUGGGGAAUAUUGCACAAUGGGCGGAAGCCUGAUGCAGCAACGCCGCGUGCGGGAUGACGGCCUUCGGGUUGUAAACCGCUUUCGCCUGUGACGCAGCGUGAGUGACGGUAAUGGGUAAAGAAGCACCGGCUAACUACGUG